UAAAAUAUACAAAAACAAAUAAUAAAAAAAUAAAAAUAAAAGGAAUAUCUAUGACUUACUUUCAUUCAAAGGUAACUAAUACUUGGAUAAUAUUGCAAUUGCAAAAUUUAGAUGUAAAAAAAUAAGUACUUACCAUACCCAUAUAAAAUUUCUCGAUACUAUAUAAAAUUUCUCGAUACCAUUUGAAGGUGCGCUUCACUUUGAUGGUUAAAGCCUUGGCUCUAUACAAACCGCACCAAUAAAAUUUCUCAAGUUCAAUAAAUUGCUUAUGUGCUUACCUGCAACCUCUUUACGGAAAAGCAAUAAUAGAAGGGUGCGGUUUGUAUAGAGCCGAUGCUCUAAACAAUCAAAUUAGAGCCCUCCUUCAAAUAGUGACGAGAAAUAUGGUUUCAAUACUGUAAAGUUUUGCUAUAGACUUAAAUCAUAUUCUCAUCUUUAGAUAUAAAAUUUAAAGCUUCACAAAUAGUAUAGAUCUAGCAGAUCUAUGAAAAUCUUGAAAAUUGACGGUCCAAAAAUGCAUUACAAGAUGCACUAUUUCCUAAACUUGAAAUCCAUAGUUUUCUCAUGUUCAUGCAUCUUGAUGUCCGGAUGAUCAUUGUUUAUGAUAUUUAUUUCCAAAACUUGAAAGCUAUAUUUUUCUCAUGUCCAUACAUCUUGAUAUCUAGAUGAUCACUUUUUAUGAUAUUUGGGCAUCAAAACCACGACUUCUAGUGAAAGUUUUGAGGUAGGCUCUAAUUUGAUUGUUUAGAGCCUAGGUUCUAUAUAAACUAUUCCCAUAAUUAGAAAAAAAAUUACACCCAGGUAUUGCAAGGCAAUUAUCAGCUACUGCCCAGCUAUAUCUUUUUAUUUCUAAAACUAGUACGGUGCUAAGCUGCAUAGUUUCACUCUCAUAUAUCACUAGGAAAAAAAUUGAGUUGAGAAACUUUAGAUCGCUGUUAAGAAAAAAGAUAACAUCAAAUAUUCCAAAAAAAAAAGAAAGAAAGAAAAGAAGAAGAAGAAGAUAAUAUCAAGAAUAAGAAAGUGAUUUUAGGGAUGAGAAAUAAGAUAAUGGGUUUUGCAGUUAUUUUUUAAAAAAUAAAAUUCAGCUCCGGAAAAGAACAAAAAUCCAUAGAGGACUCAAAAUUUGAAUGGGGUUCCUAUGAGUCAGCCGUCUCGUAUUACACAUGUUCC
Molecule: long non-coding RNA, 1170 nt
Filed under: Amborella trichopoda
Lineage: Eukaryota; Viridiplantae; Streptophyta; Magnoliopsida; Amborellales; Amborellaceae
Description: long non-coding RNA (ATRI_LNC000945)
Source: RNAcentral